Long non-coding RNA from Papaver somniferum (opium poppy), 1367 nucleotides. RefSeq lists it as uncharacterized. The transcript is spliced from 4 exons. The record is from RefSeq and is a predicted model, not a curated record. Lineage: Eukaryota; Viridiplantae; Streptophyta; Magnoliopsida; Ranunculales; Papaveraceae.
UUCGUACCACAACUUCUCCUGUUCAUUCUUAGGGACCUUAACUGCUUCUUAUCUCUCACUUCUCCUCUUCAUCCUUAGUAACUGCUCUAUGUCUCUCAAAGCUUGGUUCCUAUUUUUUUCUUCAGUCCUAACAAAAAUGAUAAUUUUGUUCUUCUGGAAUUAUGAAAUUUCGUUUAAAUCUCUUCACAUAUGAAACUUUGUUCGGACCUCAUCACAAUUGAUUAAUUAGAAAUGUGAAUUUCUGUUCUUCUGGAAUUGACCAACUGCUUAUUAAUUUUGAAGAGCAAUCGAUAAUUUCUCAUUUAUGUUGCUCACGAUUAUCUCUCCUUCCACUACUCAAGGAUGAAUCGUACUUUGAUAUCCAGUUUCAUCAACUCCAAUUCAAGAUUAUUUCAGCAAUACUUUCUGCAUCAAUCAAAGAUAACCUUCAAAAGAAAACAAUAAAUCUCCGAUGAAGAUAUUGAGAAUGCUGAGUCAGUGACAUCGAUGCAUGAUGGCUAGAGUAACUUCCGUCAAGAAGGUUGGAGCUAUCAGAAUUUGCUUCAUAAUGAUCAAUUGGUACAAAGACCUCCAGGAAUAAAUAUGACAUAUCUGAGAUUCAUACAACAAUGAGUAAUAUCUUCCAAACUUCUAUGCAUUGAAGAGUUUCUUAUUCUGAGUAUGCCAGUAUUUCAGGUAUGUCUCAUACCACGGGUCUUCUUCUGCCUUUUGGAGUGUAUCUACUAUCUUUCAAUUUUAUGUUCUCUCUGUGUGUUUGUUCCAUAAGAAGGCCUUGAAUCCAGACUAACAGACAUUGUGCUUAUAUACUCUCAUCACUCAUUGUGUAUGAGCAAGGAGAGCUCUAACAUUUAGUUGAGUUUGUUUAUAAUUUAUCUGUAGUAAAGGCUGCUGAGCUGAAGUAGUCAAACUUCUAUCUGGAAGCCACUGGACAUCGUGUUGCACUAUUACCAUGAGGACCUCUGGAGGAUCUGCAAUGGAUCUACUGAAGCAUCUAUAGUUUUGAGUUACUUAUCAAGUACAGGAAAAGCACAAAACCUUUUGAUCGGUAAAACAAACUUUAUUGAGUAGGUGCUAGAGGAACUGUAAGGGUUGCUCCUUAUUAAAGAGAGUUGUAGAAUACACAAGGAGGAGAAUUUUAUCAAGUGGCGGGUGGUGGAAAGAGAGAAAAGAUGAGCAAAUGUUGAUCAGGUCAAAGGAGCUAUCACCCUCAAAUGUAGAUGCUUCAGUAGAAGCCAAUGAACAUCAUGCUUAACCUGCACUUUGAGUUUAUUUGAUGUCUCGAGUAGUUAUAUGUAUGGACAGUGUAUUCCAACUUUUUGUUGAUAACAUUAACAACUCAAAAAAAUUACCAUGCAUUUUUCUUUUUC